AGCAGCCGCGGUAAUUCCAGCUCCAAUAGCGUAUAUUAAAGUUGUUGCAGUUAAAAAGCUCGUAGUUGAAUUUCGGGGUUAGUAGGUUGGUCAUGCCUCUGGUAUGCACUGGCCUCACUGAUUCCUCCUUCCUGAUGAGCCGUAAUGCCAUUAAUUUGGUGUUGCGGGGAAUUUGGACUGUUACUUUGAAAAAUUAGAGUGUUUAAAGCAAGCUAACGCUUGAAUACAUUAGCAUGGAAUAAUGAAAUAGGACGUUCGAUCCUAUUUUGUUGGUUUCUAGGAUUGACGUAAUGAUUAAUAGGGAUAGUUGGGGGCAUUAGUAUUCAAUUGUCAGAGGUGAAAUUCUUGGAUUUAUUGAAGACUAACUACUGCGAAAGCAUUUGCCAAGGAUGUUUUCAUUAAUCAAGAACGAAAGUUAGGGGAUCGAAGACGAUCAGAUACCGUCGUAGU
RNAcentral lists this ribosomal RNA (450 nucleotides) under uncultured Glomeromycotina. RNAcentral's name for it is "SSU rRNA". It matches the Rfam family "Eukaryotic small subunit ribosomal RNA", at positions 569 to 1024 of the family's 1831-position model. Lineage: Eukaryota; Fungi; Glomeromycota. The record is from RNAcentral.